This 635-nucleotide ribosomal RNA is filed under the name cf. Mononchus truncatus Fen JV2-1a. RNAcentral's name for it is "SSU rRNA". It matches the Rfam family "Eukaryotic small subunit ribosomal RNA", at positions 1003 to 1664 of the family's 1831-position model. Lineage: Eukaryota; Metazoa; Nematoda; Enoplea; Mononchida; Mononchidae. The record is from RNAcentral.
GGCGAUCAGAUACCGCCCUAGUUCUAACCGUAAACGAUGCCAACUAGCGAUCUGUCGGUGUUAAAAUUUGACUCGACAGGCAGCUUCCGGGAAACCAAAGUUUUCUGGUUCCGGGGGAAGUAUGGUUGCAAAGCUUAAACUUAAAGGAAUUGACGGAAGGGCACCACCAGGAGUGGAGCCUGCGGCUUAAUUUGACUCAACACGGGGAAUCUCACCCGGCCAGGACACGAUAAGGAUUGACAGAUUGAUAGCUCUUUCUUGAUUUUGUGGGUGGUGGUGCAUGGCCGUUCUUAGUUGGUGGAGCGAUUUGUCUGGUUAAUUCCGAUAACGAACGAGACUCUAGCCUAUUAAAUAGACGCAAUAUUUUUUGUAUAGCGAGCUUCUUAGAGGGACAAGCAGCUUCUUAGCUGCACGAGAUUGAGCAAUAACAGGUCUGUGAUGCCCUUAGAUGUCCGGGGCUGCACGCGCGCUACAAUGAAAGUAGCAAUGCGCAUAUUAACCGUUUCUGGUAAGAAUUGGUAAACGCGAAAUAUUUUCGUGCUUGGGAUAGGGGAUUGAAAUUAUUGCCCUUGAACGAGGAAUUCCCAGUAAGUUCGAGUCAUCAGCUUGAGCUGAUUACGUCCCUGCCCUUUGUA